Molecule: transfer RNA, 71 nt
Filed under: Ovis aries (sheep)
Lineage: Eukaryota; Metazoa; Chordata; Mammalia; Artiodactyla; Bovidae
Rfam family: tRNA
About the family: Transfer RNA (tRNA) molecules are approximately 80 nucleotides in length. Their secondary structure includes four short double-helical elements and three loops (D, anti-codon, and T loops). Further hydrogen bonds mediate the characteristic L-shaped molecular structure. tRNAs have two regions of fundamental functional importance: the anti-codon, which is responsible for specific mRNA codon recognition, and the 3' end, to which the tRNAs corresponding amino acid is attached (by aminoacyl-tRNA synthetases). tRNAs cope with the degeneracy of the genetic code in two manners: having more than one tRNA (with a specific anti-codon) for a particular amino acid; and 'wobble' base-pairing, i.e. permitting non-standard base-pairing at the 3rd anti-codon position.
Source: Rfam by way of RNAcentral
UCCUGAUGGUUCAGUUGGUAAAGAAUCUGCCUGCAAUGCAGGAGACUUGGGUUCAACCCCCAGGUCGGGAA